RNAcentral lists this ribosomal RNA (572 nucleotides) under Draconematidae sp. 376_5-1000_A. Its description in RNAcentral is "eukaryotic LSU rRNA". It matches the Rfam family "Eukaryotic large subunit ribosomal RNA", at positions 383 to 786 of the family's 3401-position model. Lineage: Eukaryota; Metazoa; Nematoda; Chromadorea; Desmodorida; Draconematidae. The record is from RNAcentral.
GAGAGUUCAAGAGGGCGUGAAACCGCUUGGAAGUAAACAGAUGGACCUGACGGAGAGUCACUGGGAUUCAGCCCACUACUGUACCUCAGCCUGCCGGUCGAUCAUCUGACGGCCUGGUGGGUGUUGGUGUGCACAGCGGGUGCAUUUCCUGGUGAUGCGCAUCAGAGCCUGUGACGGUGCUGGACGUACGGUGGACGCUUGCCGGCCAACUUCGGUUGGUGUCCCAGCGCUGCCCGAAACCGAGUCACUGUCAUGGGGCCGUUGUAGGUGCCCGCCCUACUCUAAGCGGCCAUGAGCUUGUCCAGAUCAACAGUGAGGUUGUGCUUGCACGACUUGACGACCCCUGGUUGAGUGAUUGGUCCAUUUGGAGCAGGCGCCUUACUCUGGUGUUUUAGUCAGUCACCCAUCUGACCCGUCUUGAAACACGGACCAAGGAGUCUAACAUGUGCGCGAGUCACUGGGUCGCAAAACCCAAGGGCGCAAUGAAAGUAAAGUCCAGUUUGGCUGGACGACAUGGGACCCUUUCGUUCGGCGGGAGGAGCACCAUGGUCCCGUCUAAACUGCAUCGUCAG